CGAUGUUCUUGGAAGCAACGAAUCUUCUUUUGUAGAACAUUUUGGAAUGAAUAGGGAGGAGUUUGGCAUCCUUGUGGAACGCCUUUGUGGAUUGGCCCAAAAAGACACCGCAUUUGGAAAGGCCAUUCCUCUCGAUAAGCGGGUUGCAAUCACAUUAUAUACCUUAUGAUCUUCUGCGGAGUAUCGGACAGUGGGCACGUUGUUUGGUGUGUCGAAAGCAAUGGUCUGCAAAUUAUUGCUAGAAUUUUGCCAUGAGACCUGUAGAGCUCUGUCAUCCGACUACAUCCCGCAGAACUUCCUCACGCAAUCAAAAUUGGAGGAAUGUGUUAAAGGCUUUGAAGAAUUUGGCUUCCCACAAUGCGCGAUUGAUGGCUGUCACAUUGAUAUUCAUCCAUGUGCAACUGAUACAGCUGACUAUUUUAAUUACAAAGGCUGGUACUCAACUAUAUAUAUUGUUAGCAAUGGUUGAUGCAAUAUGCAAUUAUUGAGUGAUACUCAUUUUUGCAUUUGUAUAUUGAUGUCAAAUGUAAUUUUAGAUAUAGAUUUCUUUAUAUAAACUCGACACUUUUGAAGAAUAACUCGCGCAUUAUUUCGGGAGUUGAUGUGCCUGUUGUGGUGAUUGGCGAUUCGGCUUUCAAAUUUUCGAGUCAAGUAAUAAAGCCAUAUGCUUUUUCAACUACUGAGAAUGAAACUAUGAAGGCUUUCAAUUACACUUUAGCCAAAUCACGCAGAGUGGUCGGAAAUGCUUUCGGACAUUUGAAAGCUCGAUUUCGGCGAAUUGGAAAAGGACUCGAUAAUCGUUGUAGUAGUUGUAUUUUACAUAAUUUCACGAAACGUAAAAACAUUGAUAUUCAGGGAAUUUUGGAACCAAGCCCCGAUGAACCACAUUAGCUCGAGAAAUCAUACGAAGACGCAUA
Molecule: long non-coding RNA, 917 nt
Organism: Drosophila sulfurigaster albostrigata
Lineage: Eukaryota; Metazoa; Arthropoda; Insecta; Diptera; Drosophilidae
Exons: 3
Source: RefSeq, a predicted model, not a curated record